UCCCCCAGUGCUCUGCCUGGCCCCUCUCACUGUCCCUCCACCCAGUGCCUUCUUCAGUUGCUCAACUUGGGAUCCCCGCUCAGUUGACCUUGCUCCCGUAGGCUGGAGCAGGCUGACCUCAUUCUGGCCAUGCUGGACGCCUCUGACCUGGCCUCUCCCUCCAGUUGCAACUUCCUGGCCACCGUCGUAGCCUCUGUGGGAACCCAGAGCCCCAGUGACAGCAGCCAGCGCCUCCUCCUGGUACUGAACAAGUCGGACCUGCUGUCCCCGGAGGGCCCAGGUCCCGGUCCUGACCUGCCCCCGCACCUGCUGCUGUCCUGUCUGACGGGAGAGGGGCUGGACGGCCUCCUGGAGGCGCUGAGGAAGGAGCUAGCUGCCGUGUGUGGGGACCCGUCCACAGAUCCCCCGCUGCUGACCCGAGCAAGGCACCAGCACCACCUCCAGGGUUGCCUGAAUGCCCUCGGCCACUACAAGCAGUCAAAAGACCUGGCCCUGGCGGCAGAGGCGCUGCGGGUGGCCCGGGGUCACCUGACCCGGCUCACAGGUGGAGGGGGUACUGAGGAGAUC
RNAcentral lists this small RNA (567 nucleotides) under Pongo abelii (Sumatran orangutan). RNAcentral describes it as "retained intron". Lineage: Eukaryota; Metazoa; Chordata; Mammalia; Primates; Hominidae. The record is from RNAcentral.